GUUGCUGAUCCCACCAACACUAGCUCCAGCCAGCACUGUGAUGAAAUGAAGAGCUGCCCACCACCGGCAUGAAGGUGUUUCAGCUGUGUGGUGCCAGCUGGCAGGGCAGAGCCCCUGCAGUGACUGGAGUGCCUGGUGUCAGAGUACUGGUCUCAUGUCAGCUCUGGGGUUUGUGUGACACAGGCCACAUGUAGCUUUAAAAGCAUAAGCUCUACAAGGGAGACAGUGGCAGGAAAAAGCCCUACUGUUUUUUUAAAGCAAGCAAGGACACCCAUUCAAC
Molecule: long non-coding RNA, 280 nt
Organism: Lepidothrix coronata (blue-crowned manakin)
Lineage: Eukaryota; Metazoa; Chordata; Aves; Passeriformes; Pipridae
Exons: 3
Source: RefSeq, a predicted model, not a curated record